AUACGAAUGGAGCAAGCGUUGUUCGGAAUCACUGGGCUUAAAGCGUGCGCAGGCGGACUUGAAAGUCGGGAGUGAAAUCCCAGGGCUCAACCCUGGAACUGCUUCCGAAACUCCAAGUCUAGAAUCCGAUAGAGGUUAGGGGAAUUCCUAGUGUAGAGGUGAAAUUCGCAGAUAUUAGGAGGAACACCAGUGGCGUAGGCGCCUAACUGGGUCGGUAUUGACGCUCAUGUACGAAAGCGUGGGGAGCAAACAGGAUUAGAUACCCUGGUAGUCCACGCCGUAAACGAUGUGUGCUAGUUGUUGGAGUCUUAAGGCUUCAGUGACGCAGAG
RNAcentral lists this ribosomal RNA (330 nucleotides) under uncultured Alphaproteobacteria bacterium. RNAcentral describes it as "bacterial SSU rRNA". It matches the Rfam family "Bacterial small subunit ribosomal RNA", at positions 523 to 853 of the family's 1533-position model. The record is from RNAcentral. Lineage: Bacteria; Pseudomonadati; Pseudomonadota; Alphaproteobacteria.